UGAGUAGAGUGGCGCACGGGUGCGUAACACGUAGAUAACCUGCCCUUCGAAGGGGGAUAACGUUCCGAAAGGAGCGCUAAUACCGCAUACAGCAUUCUGUGGUUCGCCAUGGGAUGGCAAAGGCUGGGACCCGCAAGGGCCAGUCGUCGAAGGAGGGGUCUGCGGCCCAUCAGCUAGUUGGUGAGGUAAUGGCUCACCAAGGCAAAGACGGGUAGCUGGUCUGAGAGGAUGAUCAGCCACACUGGUACUGGAACACGGACCAGACUCCUACGGGAGGCAGCAGUGGGGAAUCUUGGUCAAUGGGCGCAAGCCUGAACCAGCGACGCCGCGUGAGUGAUGAAGGCCUUCGGGUUGUAAAGCUCUGUGGGGAGGGACGAAAGACUGGAGUCGAAUAGGCUACCAGGUUGACGGUACCUCCUUAGCAAGCACCGGCUAACUCUGUGCCAGCAGCCGCGGUAA
RNAcentral lists this ribosomal RNA (459 nucleotides) under uncultured delta proteobacterium. RNAcentral's name for it is "bacterial SSU rRNA". It matches the Rfam family "Bacterial small subunit ribosomal RNA", at positions 87 to 523 of the family's 1533-position model. Lineage: Bacteria; Deltaproteobacteria. The record is from RNAcentral.